ACCCAGCUGAAGAGUCUCAAAUAGGACGAAACGCGCAUCCUGAAU
This 45-nucleotide non-coding RNA is filed under the name Schistosoma haematobium. Lineage: Eukaryota; Metazoa; Platyhelminthes; Trematoda; Strigeidida; Schistosomatidae. The record is from RNAcentral.